Molecule: ribosomal RNA, 366 nt
Filed under: uncultured bacterium
Lineage: Bacteria
Description: bacterial SSU rRNA
Rfam family: Bacterial small subunit ribosomal RNA
Source: RNAcentral
GACGAACGCUGGCGGCGUGCUUAACACAUGCAAGUCGAGCGGUAAGGCCCUUUCGGGGGUACACGAGCGGCGAACGGGUGAGUAACACGUGGGUGACCUGCCCUUAGCUCUGGGAUAAGCCUGGGAAACUGGGUCUAAUACCGGAUAUGACUCCAUGACGCAUGUUGUGGGGUGGAAAGCCUUGUGCGGCUAGGGAUGGGCCCGCGGCCUAUCAGCUUGUUGGUGGGGUGAUGGCCUACCAAGGCGACGACGGGUAGCCGGCCUGAGAGGCGACCGGCCACACUGGGACUGAGACACGGCCCAGACUCCUACGGGAGGCAGCAGUGGGGAAUCUUGCGCAAUGGGCGAAAGCCUGACGCAGCGACG